This 567-nucleotide ribosomal RNA is filed under the name Megasphaera sp. RNAcentral's name for it is "partial 23S ribosomal RNA". It matches the Rfam family "Bacterial large subunit ribosomal RNA", at positions 1 to 576 of the family's 2925-position model. Lineage: Bacteria; Bacillati; Bacillota; Negativicutes; Veillonellales; Veillonellaceae. The record is from RNAcentral.
GGUUAAGUUAAUAAGGGCGCACGGUGGAUGCCUUGGCACUAGGAGCCGAAGAAGGACGUGACAAACGACGAUAUGCCUUGGGUAGCUGUAAGUAAGCGAUGAUCCAGGGAUUUCCGAAUGGGGGAACCCAACAGGUACUACCUGUUACCCGCAUCUGUUAAGGAUGUGAGGAGGAAGACGCAGUGAACUGAAACAUCUAAGUAGCUGCAGGAAGAGAAAGCAAAAGCGAUUGCCUUAGUAGCGGCGAGCGAAACGGCAGGAGGGCAAACCGAAGAGUUUACUCUUCGGGGUUGUAGGACUGCAAUGUGGAAUUAAAGAUUAUAGAAGAAUGAUUUGGGAAGAUCAGCCAAAGAGAGUAAUAGCCUCGUAUUUAAAAUAGUCUUUGUACCUAGCAGUAUCCUGAGUACGGCGGGACACGCGAAAUCCCGUCGGAAUCUGGGAGGACCAUCUCCCAACCCUAAAUACUCCCUAGUGACCGAUAGUGAACCAGUACCGUGAGGGAAAGGUGAAAAGCACCCCGGGAGGGGAGUGAAAUAGAACCUGAAACCGUGUGCCUACAACAAGUUC